CAGCACUAAGUGGGUGGUAAACUCCAUCUAAAACUAAAUAUAACCAUGAGACCGAUAGCAAACAAGUACCGUGAGGGAAAGUUGAAAAGAACUCUGAAUAGAGAGUUAAAUAGUACGUGAAACUGCUUAGAGGUUAAGCCCGAUGAACCUGAAUAUCCGUUGUAGAAAAUUCAUCAUCAAGUCUCUAAUAUUUAUUAAAUAUUGGAUGAGUGGUGUGCACUUUUUCUACUUAAGGACAUUGUAAUCUAUUAAUGUUUAAAUGCGUAUUAUAAGAACAUGUACACUAGUUUAUGAAUUAUUGGCUUGCUAAUGUUUAUAAAGGUAUGUGCUUCGAAUAUGCCAUUGAUAGAUUUUUAGUAUAUUGUACUUAAAUCUUUUGAUUUUAUAAUAAUAUGAUUUUCAUUGAAUUUUGUAUUUAUUAUAUGUACAUAUAUGAUUGACAAUGCGAAAGAUUCAGGAUACCUUCGGGACCC
RNAcentral lists this ribosomal RNA (473 nucleotides) under Metopina galeata. Its description in RNAcentral is "eukaryotic LSU rRNA". It matches the Rfam family "Eukaryotic large subunit ribosomal RNA", at positions 283 to 650 of the family's 3401-position model. The record is from RNAcentral. Lineage: Eukaryota; Metazoa; Arthropoda; Insecta; Diptera; Phoridae.